GUGAGGAAUAUUGCGCAAUGGAGGCAACUCUGACGCAGCCAUGCCGCGUGCAGGAAGAAGGCGCUACGCGUUGUAAACUGCUUUUAACCGGGAAGAAACCCCAGGACGUGUCCUGGGUUGACGGUACCGGAGGAAUAAGCACCGGCUAACUUCGUGCCAGCAGCCGCGGUAAUACGAAGGGUGCAAGCGUUAUCCGGAUUCAUUGGGUUUAAAGGGUGCGUAGGCGGAGCGUUAAGUCAGUGGUGAAAUCCUGCAGCUUAACUGUAGACUUGCCUUUGAUACUGGCGCUCUUGAGUGCGCUUGAAGUGGGCGGAAUGUGCCGUGUAGCGGUGAAAUGCUUAGAUAUGGCACAGAACACCAAUUGCGAAGGCAGCUCACUAAGGCGAUACUGACGCUGAGGCACGAAAGCGUGGGGAUCGAACAGGAUUAGAAACCCGAGUAGUCC
Molecule: ribosomal RNA, 445 nt
Filed under: uncultured bacterium
Lineage: Bacteria
Description: partial 16S ribosomal RNA
Rfam family: Bacterial small subunit ribosomal RNA
Source: RNAcentral